UCUGAGCUGAGAAACAUAAAGAUGUUUCAUUAUUUCAAGAUAAUUCAUGGAGAAUUAAGGGAAUGGGGUGAAAGUGAUGUGAUGUGCUUGAAGUUGCCAGAGGGAGAGGUGGUAAUAGGAUAAUUUUACUUCUAAAUUAGUUAGUGCUCUGUGUUAGCCCUACAGCAAGGAGUCAGGACAAGAAAGAAAGGAGAGAAAAAAGGAGUGAGCUUCAUGGCCCUGGAAAGCAGCAUUGGAGGAGCCAGGACGUUUCUGAAGGCUCCUGCCUUCUCCAUCAAGUUGGGAAAUUCAGAUGAGCCUGAGCUGAACAUUUGGAUAAGUGCUGUUCAUCCCUAAAAGCUGUGAUGUGGAAGUGUCUGAGCAAUGGACUGCUCUUGUUGGUGUUGGUCGACACCAUGAAGUGUGAGACAGGCAGCUGGCAGAAGCUAGAAGGAAUUUGGUAACAGCAAGUGGCAACAUAAUCACAUGGAUAAAAGCGUCUUGCUGAAAAAUGGAUGAUCCAAAACACAAAAAGUAUUCCCAGAAAGUCAGGAUCUGUUGUAGCCAUCAUAAAACAUGGAUAAAAUAUUAUAUUUGUAUACCUUCAUUGCUCUUCUUCUGUACAAAAAGUAGAAAAAACAGCAUUUGGUGGAUACAGAUUUAUAAUGGUGGCCACUCUAUUGAACUGGCAGUAUUCCUUGAAGUUUUC
Non-coding RNA from Taeniopygia guttata (zebra finch), 688 nucleotides. The record is from RefSeq and is a predicted model, not a curated record. Lineage: Eukaryota; Metazoa; Chordata; Aves; Passeriformes; Estrildidae.